This is a long non-coding RNA of Oncorhynchus tshawytscha (Chinook salmon), 506 nucleotides long. Lineage: Eukaryota; Metazoa; Chordata; Actinopteri; Salmoniformes; Salmonidae. The record is from Ensembl.
GUGUAGGGCAGUCAGGUAGGGUGUAGGGCAGUCAGGUAGGGUGGAGGGUGGUCAGGUAGGGUGGAGGGUGGUCAGGUAGGGUGGAGGGUGGUCAGGUAGGGUAGAGGGUGGUCAGGUAGGGUAGAGGGUGGUCAGGUAGGGUGGAGGGUGUCAGGUAGGGUGGAGGGUGGUCAGGUAGGGUGGAGGGUGGUCAGGUAGGGUAGAGGGUGGUCAGGUAGGGUAGAGGGUGGUCAGGUAGGGUGGAGGGUGACCUGCCCCAGCUCAACUCUCUGUUUUUGUAUAUCUGCAGUACAUUUCUACUCUUGCAUUAGUCCUCAUCCAUUGGCCAUUUGGGUUAGCAUGAAACCUAACUAUAUUUGGCACAGAAAAAUAAACAGGAACAUAAUACAAUAUCCCACCUCCUUGGCUUUGGGCAGGGGCUGAAGGUAUGCAUGUUGAUCAGUAGGGGCUGAAGGUAUGCAUGUUGAUCAGUAGGGGCUGAAGGUAUGCAUGUUGAUCAGUAGGGG